AGCCCGCUCGCCGGAAGACCAAGGGUUCCUGUCCAACGUUAAUCGGGGCAGGGUGAGUCGACCCCUAAGGCGAGGCCGAAAGGCGUAGUCGAUGGGAAACAGGUUAAUAUUCCUGUACUUGGUGUUACUGCGAAGGGGGGACGGAGAAGGCUAUGUUGGCCGGGCGACGGUUGUCCCGGUUUAAGCGUGUAGGCUGGUUUUCCAGGCAAAUCCGGAAAACCAAGGCUGAGGCGUGAUGACGAGGCACUACGGUGCUGAAGCAACAAAUGCCCUGCUUCCAGGAAAAGCCUCUAAGCAUCAGGUAACAUCAAAUCGUACCCCAAACCGACACAGGUGGUCAGGUAGAGAAUACCAAGGCGCUUGAGAGAACUCGGGUGAAGGAACUAGGCAAAAUGGUGCCGUAACUUCGGGAGAAGGCACGCUGAUAUGUAGGUGAAGCGACUUGCUCGUGGAGCUGAAAUCAGUCGAAGAUACCAGCUGGCUGCAACUGUUUAUUAAAAACACAGCACUGUGCAAACACGAAAGUGGACGUAUACGGUGUGACGCCUGCCCGGUGCCGGAAGGUUAAUUGAUGGGGUUAGCGGUAACGCGAAGCUCUUGAUCGAAGCCCCGGUAAACGGCGGCCGUAACUAUAACGGUCCUAAGGUAGCGAAAUUCCUUGUCGGGUAAGUUCCGACCUGCACGAAUGGCGUAAUGAUGGCCAGGCUGUCUCCACCCGAGACUCAGUGAAAUUGAACUCGCUGUGAAGAUGCAGUGUACCCGCGGCAAGACGGAAAGACCCCGUGAACCUUUACUAUAGCUUGACACUGAACAUUGAGCCUUGAUGUGUAGGAUAGGUGGGAGGCUUUGAAGUGUGGACGCCAGUCUGCAUGGAGCCGACCUUGAAAUACCACCCUUUAAUGUUUGAUGUUCUAACGUGGGCCCCUUACCGGGGUUGCGGACAGUGUCUGGUGGGUAGUUUGACUGGGGCGGUCUCCUCCUAAAGAGUAACGGAGGAGCACGAAGGUUGGCUAAUCCUGGUCGGACAUCAGGAGGUUAGUGCAAUGGCAUAAGCCAGCUUGACUGCGAGCGUGACGGCGCGAGCAGGUGCGAAAGCAGGUCAUAGUGAUCCGGUGGUUCUGAAUGGAAGGGCCAUCGCUCAACGGAUAAAAGGUACUCCGGGGAUAACAGGCUGAUACCGCCCAAGAGUUCAUAUCGACGGCGGUGUUUGGCACCUCGAUGUCGGCUCAUCACAUCCUGGGGCUGAAGUAGGUCCCAAGGGUAUGGCUGUUCGCCAUUUAAAGUGGUACGCGAGCUGGGUUUAGAACGUCGUGAGACAGUUCGGUCCCUAUCUGCCGUGGGCGCUGGAGAACUGAGGGGGGCUGCUCCUAGUACGAGAGGACCGGAGUGGACGCAUCACUGGUGUUCGGGUUGUCAUGCCAAUGGCACUGCCCGGUAGCUAAAUGCGGAAGAGAUAAGUGCUGAAAGCAUCUAAGCACGAAACUUGCCCCGAGAUGAGUUCU
Molecule: ribosomal RNA, 1502 nt
Filed under: Escherichia coli
Lineage: Bacteria; Pseudomonadati; Pseudomonadota; Gammaproteobacteria; Enterobacterales; Enterobacteriaceae
Description: bacterial LSU rRNA
Rfam family: Bacterial large subunit ribosomal RNA
Source: RNAcentral